This 253-nucleotide ribosomal RNA is filed under the name uncultured bacterium. RNAcentral's name for it is "partial 16S ribosomal RNA". It matches the Rfam family "Bacterial small subunit ribosomal RNA", at positions 524 to 776 of the family's 1533-position model. The record is from RNAcentral.
CACGUAGGUACCGAGCGUUAUCCGGAUUUACUGGGCGUAAAGCGCGUUCAGGCGGUUUGGCAAGUCGGGCAUGAAAUCUCUCGGCUCAACCGGGAGAGGUUGUCCGAUACUUCCAGACUUGAGGGCAGUAGAGGGUGGUGGAAUUCCGGGUGUAGUGGUGAAAUGCGUAGAUAUCCGGAGGAACACCAGUGGCGAAAGCGGCCACCUGGACUGCACCUGACGCUGACACGCGAAAGCAUGGGGAGCGAACAGG